GACGAACGCUGGCGGCGUGCCUAACACAUGCAAGUCGAACGGAAAGGCCCUGCUUUUGCGGCGUGCUCGAGAGGCGAACGGGUGAGUAACACGUGGGUAACCUGCCCUUGACUUUGGGAUAACAUCAGGAAACUGGGGCUAAUACCCGAUAGGAGCUCCUGCUGCAAGGGGUGGGUUGGUAAGUUCCGGCGGUUGGGGCUGGUCUGGAAGCCUAUCAGCCUGUUGGUCGGGUAGGGGCUUACCAAGUGUUUGACGGGUAGCCCGCCUUAGAGGGUGGCCGGCCCCGUUAGUACUACGGUACGCCGCAGACUCCUCCGGGACGCAGCAGUCGACAAUAUUGCACAGUACCCCGAAGCGGGUGCCGACGACCACGGGUGCGGCAAGACCGCUUUCUAGUUGUAAACAGCUUUCGACUGUGACGAAACGUGAUUGACGGUAAUGGGUAAAGAAGCACCGGCUAACUACGUG
RNAcentral lists this ribosomal RNA (468 nucleotides) under uncultured bacterium. Its description in RNAcentral is "partial 16S ribosomal RNA". It matches the Rfam family "Bacterial small subunit ribosomal RNA", at positions 28 to 507 of the family's 1533-position model. The record is from RNAcentral.